RNAcentral lists this ribosomal RNA (358 nucleotides) under Lyrognathus giannisposatoi. Its description in RNAcentral is "partial 12S ribosomal RNA". Lineage: Eukaryota; Metazoa; Arthropoda; Arachnida; Araneae; Theraphosidae. The record is from RNAcentral.
UUGGCGGCCUUCCACCUCCUCAGAGGAACUCGUAUUUUCAUCCGAUAAUCCGCGCUAAAUCUAACUUAGUUUCCAAAGUCUUUAUAUCGCCGUCUAAAGAUUCAAUUCUAACAUUCAAUCCAAAAGGACUAUCAUCUACGUCAGGUCGAGAUAAAGCCUAUACCUAAGCGAUCCGAGUUACACAUAUUCAUUACAUAAACAUUCUUAUUCAAAACCAAGAACAUUCAGGAUUUGAAAGUAACUUUCCGACAUUACCACAAAGUGAAUUUGUCCACAAGGCGUACAUAUCGCCCGUCACCCUCGUCCAAAGAUGAGGUAAGUCGUAACAAAGUUAAUGUACUGGAAAGUGCAUUAAGGG